This 558-nucleotide small RNA is filed under the name Pan troglodytes (chimpanzee). RNAcentral describes it as "retained intron". The record is from RNAcentral. Lineage: Eukaryota; Metazoa; Chordata; Mammalia; Primates; Hominidae.
GUUAAGCGAAACGGGAAAGUGGAGACCGCGCCGGCGUUGCCUAGAGAACGCCUGGACUCAGAGUAGCAAAAUGGGCCUCUCUCCAACUCCCCUCCUCCCCCAGCACAAGGCAAAGGGCACCCCUUGCUGUGAGUUUGGGGGCACCGGCUGUCGGGGGCCGACCCAGAACUUUGCGGGGUCCCCUGAGGGACCCGUGGCGGGACCGGCCCCGGGUUCGUCAAAUUCCGCCGAUGCUUUCAGGAGGCUGAUUAAACAAAGGACAAGAUUGGAGUGGGAAAUGAGAGGCUCUUAAAAGUGGAAGCUUUUUGUUUGUCCAUUUACAAGAAAUUGGACAAUGAAUCACUUCAGGAAGAUGGAGGUCAUCAACCUCACCACCCUACCUGUGAUACCAGUGGAUGAGCACCUGGCUGUCUCGCUUGUCGCACGGAAUACAAUGGUGAAGACUGUGAGGAAGGAGUUAGAGAACAGUCCACCCUGUAUCCUUCUGGUGGUGUCACCUACAAUCAGACCAAAUACACCUAACUUGAGUCAUGCCACAGAGAUCUAAUCAGUGCUCAG